Molecule: long non-coding RNA, 230 nt
Filed under: Trifolium pratense (red clover)
Lineage: Eukaryota; Viridiplantae; Streptophyta; Magnoliopsida; Fabales; Fabaceae
Description: long non-coding RNA (TPRA_LNC013142)
Source: RNAcentral
UGGUUCAGAGGAUGCAAAGUUCAGAGGUUAUGUUGCCUCUGACUCUGAAGUGCUUCAGAGGAUGGAUUGCAGGCACAGGCACGUAGGCAAGCUCAUAGGCGCGCAGGCUUGAGCUUGAGCACACACACAGUUUUGCAAAAACUGUGUUAUACAAGAUGAAAACCUUUCUUGAUGAUUUUGAUUAAGAACUGAUUAUGAAACUUAGGGAAAAUAGAGAAUUUUAUUCUUCC